This 301-nucleotide ribosomal RNA is filed under the name uncultured bacterium. Its description in RNAcentral is "partial 16S ribosomal RNA". It matches the Rfam family "Bacterial small subunit ribosomal RNA", at positions 509 to 809 of the family's 1533-position model. The record is from RNAcentral.
CAGUAGCCGCGGGAACACGUAGGGUGCAAGCGUUAAUCGGAAUUACUGGGCGUAAAGCGUGCGCAGGCGGUUAUAUAAGACAGAUGUGAAAUCCCCGGGCUCAACCUGGGAACUGCAUUUGUGACUGUAUAGCUAGAGUACGGCAGAGGGGGAUGGAAUUCCGCGUGUAGCAGUGAAAUGCGUAGAUAUGCGGAGGAACACCGAUGGCGAAGGCAAUCCCCUGGGCCUGUACUGACGCUCAUGCACGAAAGCGUGGGGAGCAAACAGGAUUAGAUACCCGUGUAGUCCCUGUCUCUUAUAA